AUUGAAACACUAGUUCCUAUACAAUCACCAAAGUUAAGCAAUAUUGAGAUUGGUCAGUACUUAUAUGAGUGACCGCUUAGGAAUACCAGGUGCUGUAAG
Molecule: non-coding RNA, 99 nt
Organism: Acanthosepion pharaonis
Lineage: Eukaryota; Metazoa; Mollusca; Cephalopoda; Sepiida; Sepiidae
Source: the annotation of a GenBank genome assembly